RNAcentral lists this ribosomal RNA (218 nucleotides) under Sardinella jussieu (Mauritian sardinella). RNAcentral's name for it is "partial 16S ribosomal RNA". The record is from RNAcentral. Lineage: Eukaryota; Metazoa; Chordata; Actinopteri; Clupeiformes; Clupeidae.
ACCAAACAGCUAGCUCAACCCAGGAGGACAAAUCCUACAACAUAAAUUAGACUAUCACAAACUAACCCAACCAACUAAACCAUUCGACCACCCCAGUACGGGCGACAGAAAAGGACCAAUGAAGCCAUAGACAAAGUACCGCAAGGGAAAGCUGAAAGAGAGCUGAAAUAGCGCACUGAAGUAUAUAAAAGCAGAGACUGAGCCUCGUACCUUUGGCA